AGCUCCAAUAGCGUAUAUUAAAGUUGCUGCAGUUAAAAAGCUCGUAGUUGCAUUUCCGAGGCAAGGGAUUAGUCCGACCUUUGGUGGGUAUUUAAUCCUCUUGCCUCGUCCUUGAGUGGUGCUUCUUGGUAUUAAGUUAUCGAGGAGAUAGCCGCUCAUCGUUUACUGUGAGAAAAUUAGAGUGUUCAAAGCAGGCUUAUGCCGUUGAAUAUAUUAGCAUGGAAUAAUAAGAUAGGACCUCGGUACUAUUUUGUGGGUUUGAGAACCAAGGUAAUGAUGAAUAGGGACAGUUGGGGGUAUUCGUAUUCAGUUGUCAGAGGUGAAAUUCUUAGAUUGACGGAAGACGAACUACUGCGAAAGCAUUUACCAAGGAUGUUUUCA
Molecule: ribosomal RNA, 381 nt
Filed under: uncultured marine Chaetocerotaceae
Lineage: Eukaryota; Bacillariophyta; Thalassiosirophyceae; Chaetocerotales; Chaetocerotaceae
Description: SSU rRNA
Rfam family: Eukaryotic small subunit ribosomal RNA
Source: RNAcentral